CGGGAGGCGCCAGUGGGGAAUAUUGCCCAAGGGGGGAACUUCUGAGCCGGUGCCGCCGGGAAAGGGAAGAAGUUUUUGGGAUGGUAAACUAUGUCAGACAGGGAAGAAAUGACAGUACCU
Molecule: ribosomal RNA, 120 nt
Filed under: uncultured bacterium
Lineage: Bacteria
Description: partial 16S ribosomal RNA
Source: RNAcentral